GACGAACGCUGGCGGCGUGCUUAACACAUGCAAGUCGAACGGAAAGGCCCUGCUUUUGUGGGGUGCUCGAGUGGCGAACGGGUGAGUAACACGUGAGUAACCUGCCCUUGACUUUGGGAUAACUUCAGGAAACUGGGGCUAAUACCGGAUAGGAGCUCCUGCUGCAUGGUGGGGGUUGGAAAGUUUCGGCGGUUGGGGAUGGACUCGCGGCUUAUCAGCUUGUUGGUGGGGUAGUGGCUUACCAAGGCUUUGACGGGUAGCCGGCCUGAGAGGGUGACCGGGCAAAAUGGGGCCGAGAUACGGGCCCGAAUCCUACGGGGGGGAGCAGGGGGGGAUAAUGGCACAAGGGCGGAAGGCUGAUGGCAGCAAGCCGGGUGGGGGGAGACGGGCUUUGGGGUGGAAACCGGUUUUGCCUGUGAAGGAGGGUGGGUGGAGGUAAUGGGUAAAGAAAGCACCGGCAAAUAAGUG
RNAcentral lists this ribosomal RNA (468 nucleotides) under uncultured bacterium. RNAcentral describes it as "partial 16S ribosomal RNA". It matches the Rfam family "Bacterial small subunit ribosomal RNA", at positions 28 to 507 of the family's 1533-position model. The record is from RNAcentral.